AGAGCGAACGCUGGCGGCAGGCCUAACACAUGCAAGUCGAGCGCCCGUAGCAAUACGGGAGCGGCAGACGGGAUAGUAACACGUGGGAACGCGCCCUUCGGUUCGGAAUAACUCAGGGAAACUUGAGCUAAUACCGGAUACGCCCUUACGGGGAAAGAUUUAUUGCCGAAGGAACGGCCCGCGUCCGAUUAGCUAGUUGGUGAGGUAAUGGCUCACCAAGGCGACGAUCGGUAGCUGGUCUGAGAGGAUGACCAGCAUCACUGGGACUGAGACACGGCCCAGACUCCUACGGGAGGCAGCAGUGGGGGAAUAUUGGACAAUGGGCGCAAGCCUGAUCCAGCCAUGCCGCGUGGAUGAUGAAGGCCUUAGGGUUGUAAAGUCCUUUUAACGGGGAAGAUAAUGACGGUACCCGUAGAAUAAGCCCCGGCUAACUUCGUGCCAGCAGCCGC
Molecule: ribosomal RNA, 449 nt
Filed under: uncultured bacterium
Lineage: Bacteria
Description: SSU rRNA
Rfam family: Bacterial small subunit ribosomal RNA
Source: RNAcentral